GUGGGGAAUAUUGGUCAAUGGACGCAAGUCUGAACCAGCCAAGUAGCGUGAAGGACGACGGCCCUACGGGUUGUAAACUUCUUUUGUACGGGAAUAAAGUGAGGCACGCGCUGCCUUUUUGCAUGUACCGUACGAAUAAGCAUCGGCUAAUUCCGUGCCAGCAGCCGCGGUAAUACGGAAGAUGCGAGCGUUAUCCGGAUUUAUUGGGUUUAAAGGGAGCGUAGGCGGGUUUUUAAGUCUGCGGUAAAAUGUCGGCGCCCAACGUCGUCGUGCCGUGGAAACUGGAGACCUUGAAUACACGCAAGGAAGAUGGAAUUCGUCGUGUAGCGGUGAAAUGCUUAGAUAUGACGAAGAACUCCGAUUGCGAAGGCAGUCUUCUGGAGUGCGAUUGACGCUGAGGCUCGAAAGUGCGGGUAUCAAACAGG
This 425-nucleotide ribosomal RNA is filed under the name uncultured rumen bacterium. RNAcentral describes it as "bacterial SSU rRNA". It matches the Rfam family "Bacterial small subunit ribosomal RNA", at positions 354 to 776 of the family's 1533-position model. The record is from RNAcentral.